GACGAACGCUGGCGGCGUGCUUAACACAUGCAAGUCGAACGGAAAGGCCCUGCUUUUGUGGGGUGCUCGAGUGGCGAACGGGUGAGUAACACGUGAGUAACCUGCCCUUGACUUUGGGAUAACUUCAGGAAACUGGGGCUAAUACCGGAUAGGAGCUCCUGCUGCAUGGUGGGGGUUGGAAAGUUUCGGCGGUUGGGGAUGGACUCGCGGCUUAUCAGCUUGUUGGUGGGGUAGUGGCUUACCAAGGCUUUGACGGGUAGCCGGCCUGAGAGGGUGACCGGCCACAUUGGGACUGAGAUACGGCCCAGACUCCUACGGGAGGCAGCAGUGGGGAAUAUUGCACAAUGGGCGGAAGCCUGAUGCAGCAACGCCGCGUGCGGGAUGACGGCCUCGGUUGUAACCGACGUUCGCCUCGUGACGAAGCGUGAGUGACGGUAA
RNAcentral lists this ribosomal RNA (438 nucleotides) under uncultured bacterium. RNAcentral describes it as "bacterial SSU rRNA". It matches the Rfam family "Bacterial small subunit ribosomal RNA", at positions 28 to 478 of the family's 1533-position model. The record is from RNAcentral.